AAUCAGAAAGUGCUUUAGCUCGAUAUAAAAUUCUUUGAGUUUCAAAACAUAAAAGACUAGAUGGACUCAAAUAUGUGGCGAAAGCUCAAGGUGGUAUAAAACAUAAGAAAUCAUUGUAAAAAUGCAAAAAGAUCCAAGCCACUAAGGUACCAUUUUUCGAAUUUGAGUUGAUGUAGUAAGUGACAAAUUGGAAUUGGAGAGUAAUACUUAAUCAUCCUUGAAGAAUGUCUUGUAUUACUAGUGCUUAUCCA
Molecule: long non-coding RNA, 251 nt
Filed under: Physcomitrium patens
Lineage: Eukaryota; Viridiplantae; Streptophyta; Bryopsida; Funariales; Funariaceae
Description: long non-coding RNA (PPAT_LNC011988)
Source: RNAcentral